AUCGCUCUUUGAAAAAAUAUUAAUAAAGAGUACUGCCUGCCCAGUGACAAAAGUUAAACGGCCGCGGUAUUUUGACCGUGCAAAGGUAGCAUAAUCAUUUGUUCUUUAAUUGAGGACUAGAAUGAAAGGCAACACGAAAACUUAACUGUCUCCUUCUUAAAAAAAGAAAUUAAUAUUUUUGUGAAGAAGCAAAAAUAAAAAUGUAAGACGAGAAGACCCUGUCGAGCUUAAGAAAAUUUUUAUAAGAAAAUAAAUAAGUUAAGCUAAGUUAUAUUACUAAAAACUAAAAAUAAAAAUAUCUUUGGUUGGGGCAACCACGAAGAAAAAGAAACCUUCGUUCUAAAAAAGAAAUUAACAAAUUAAAAACUUUAAUAAAGAAAAAGAUCCAGAAUAUACUGAUCAAAGAAAAAAGUUACCGCAGGGAUAACAGCGUUAUUCUCUUUAAGAGCUCGUAUUGACAAGAGAGUUUGCGACCUCGAUGUUGGACCGGGGCAUCCAAGAGGUGUAGCAGCCUCUAAAGGUAGGUCUGUUCGACCUUUAAAGCCCUACGUGAU
This 554-nucleotide ribosomal RNA is filed under the name Iconometra japonica. RNAcentral describes it as "partial large subunit ribosomal RNA". It matches the Rfam family "Bacterial large subunit ribosomal RNA", at positions 1815 to 2604 of the family's 2925-position model. Lineage: Eukaryota; Metazoa; Echinodermata; Crinoidea; Comatulida; Colobometridae. The record is from RNAcentral.